AUGAUGCAGGCAGGCAGGCAGGGACCAGGCAGAGAGAGCAGCCUGCAGCCACCAGUGGUGGAGGCAAGUGGGACCGUGGACUCAGCAGGUGCGGAGAUGAAUGAGCCCAGAAGGAGGAGGGGGUGAAAUGGCAAGGGGGUCACCAUGGAGCCAGCGUCCCUCUGUGGACCUGAGCCGAUCGCUUAGCUGUAGUUCAGAGCAGCUCUACCAAGUGUUGCCUCAGGCUGUGGGGGAUUUUUUUUCCCUGAUGGUGCUUCCCUUGUGUGGUUUCUCUGGUGCGGAGGAGACGCAUGUGGGCCAGGGAAGCCAGCUCUGCUGUGCAUGCAGGGCCGGGACCAGGGCUUGCUUCUGUUGCCAGCACUGGGAGGAAGAUGUGUCCUGGGCACGAGUCAGGUGUGCAGGGCGAGACUGGGCUGUCCCUCCCUCCUCCCCUGCCACCUCCUGCCGCAACCGAGCCCCUCUGCUGCCGCCCCUUUAACCAUCACCUUUCACAAAGGGGAAAGAAUAAAGCCAGAGCUGAUUUUGAACUGUUUAUUGUAUAAUAUAAAACUACAAAAGUAAGACUGCUCAUUUCCAUGUACAUCUGUCCAACUGGGGGUUGAUUACAGCCCAUUCCUACAUGUGAAUACAGUAAUCUGUUUUCAGAUGUAUAUGUCUGUAAUAUUGCAUAGAAAAGGCACAGCUCUAAGGUCUGUGGGGGGGAAGGGAAAUACAGCCUUUUUUUUCUUGGGGGGGGGGGGGGUGUGUGUUUCUUAUCUUUUUUUUCUGUUUUGGCUUUUUUUUAUUCUUUUUUUUAAUGUGGUUUUUUUUUCAAUAACAAGCCCUGUUCAAACAACCAUGCAUUGAACAUGUCACACUAUUUACACCUUUUCCAGAAUCUUGGCCUUCACAGGCACUAGGUAUGGAUUACGCUCAGAGCUAGACGGGAGUUGAAGUUGGGAUUUUCAUUUGCAAUUUGUGAUUGUUGGGAUUUGGUGUUG
This is a long non-coding RNA of Pogoniulus pusillus (Red-fronted tinkerbird), 980 nucleotides long. RefSeq lists it as uncharacterized. The record is from RefSeq and is a predicted model, not a curated record. Lineage: Eukaryota; Metazoa; Chordata; Aves; Piciformes; Lybiidae. The transcript has 2 exons.